AGAAUCCAAAAUCUAAAAUUCAGGAAGCCUCUAAACGGGGCAGAUUUUAGCCUGGAUUCUAGAAGUCAGAUUUCGGAUUCGAAGAAUCCCAUAAUCUGCUGAAACGUUGCUUCUGAUAGAUUUUGUGCAUGUAUUUUACAAUUUUGCCCCUUAUCCUUUCAGAAAAUGAUCCAAUCCCCACUCUUCCCCUUCCUUCCCACACAGCCAAUCUGCUUUUAAUCCGCUUCUAUCGCAAGAUAGGUACGAAUC
RNAcentral lists this long non-coding RNA (249 nucleotides) under Setaria viridis. RNAcentral's name for it is "long non-coding RNA (SVIR_LNC010097)". Lineage: Eukaryota; Viridiplantae; Streptophyta; Magnoliopsida; Poales; Poaceae. The record is from RNAcentral.